This 1079-nucleotide long non-coding RNA is filed under the name Phoenix dactylifera (date palm). Its description in RNAcentral is "long non-coding RNA (PDAC_LNC004444)". The record is from RNAcentral. Lineage: Eukaryota; Viridiplantae; Streptophyta; Magnoliopsida; Arecales; Arecaceae.
UAGUGAUUUUUGGUACUUUGUGUAUUUGGACCCAUGCCACUGGGUUACGUGGCCAUAGCCUGACUUCUGAUUUCUGGUAUCUCUUUGUGAAAGCAAUAGUAUAUUUAAAAAAAAUAUGCAUUAUUCGAGAAAUAAUUUAUUUUUAAUCAAUAUUUUAUGCUUUUGAUUAGUUAUUUAACAUGCUUUGAUCCUACUUUGGGGUAUUAUAUUGCUUAGUAGGCUAGUAUAGCUCAUUAUUAUAUUUUUUCUAUUUUUCAGAUCUAGAUGUAUAAUUGCUCGGAACUUGAGUAGUGCUCUAGUUAUUUUGAAGACGCUUUCAGUUAUUGGAGGUUUAGUUAGUCUAGUUAGAAUUUUUUAUGUUAGUAGUUAGUAUAUGUUGGCUUAUGCUACUUUGGAACUAUUGUAAGAAUAAUUUGAAUAAAUUCUUAUUUGAAUAAUUUUUUAAGAAAAUAUUAUUGAUUGAUAUGAUCUAUAGCCUUGCAUAAUCCGUUAUAAAGAUAUGCGGCGUCUGUUCUGCUCUGAAUUCGGGACACAACAGGCUUAGAUUCAAGCCCUUGACACAUACGGGCUAUCAGUCUUUUGUUGUCAACCAGAGAAGUCCUACAGGAGAGAUUUUUCCUCUCUAUUUUUAAUUUUUAUUUUAUUUUCUUUUACAUUUUUUUCCAAUGAUCGAGCCCUUUGAGUCAGAUCUCCAUGCAACUGUGCCCGUGAUAAAAGAUUUUUGAUUGUGCUAGAUUCGUUAUCGCCUAAAAUCUACAGACCAACAAAAUAAAGAGACAAUAUAUCAAGCAAGAGUCUCGUGGCAUGUAGAUGGAAAAAAAAAUUAAAAAAUAAUAAUAAAAGAAAAACAAUGGCAUCCAUGGACCCACAUUGAUUCCAGCCUCCAAGCUUCUUUGUGGCCUUUCCUGGAGUGCCUCCAAGGAAUCCCUGAGAGUCGAACUAUAGAACAAAUUUACCAAAUUAACGCCAGGUCUCGUCGCCUUCCUCAGACCCCGGCGCGUGCGUGUGUGUGUGUAUAUAUAUAUAUCGCUGCAUCUCCGGGUUUCCAUGCUUUCCGGUCAAAGAUACCACGCAACAAC